GGUAGCAAUGCCACUUUCAGGAUACUAGAGGUUGGUUGUGGAGCUGGAAAUAGUGUGUUUCCAAUUUUGAACACUUUGCAAGGAAGUCCACAGUAUGUUCUGCAAAGCCAGUUUAGAUGAAAAGCAAAAUCUGGUUGAUCGCCGCUUACAAGUUAAUAGGAAAAAACAAGUGAAAAUGCACCGAGUGUGGAUUCAAGGCAAAUUCCAGAAACCAUUGCACCAGACUCAGAAUAGCUCCAAUAUGGUAUCUACACUCCUUGCACAAGACUGAACUUUGUAACAUGUUAACGUACAAAGCCAGAGGACUGUGCUAUUCAAGGACUACUGUAAGUCUAUUGUUUCGCAAAAGAUAAUGAGAAAAAAUAAGAGAAUUUGUAUUUCCUGCUGUUUUGUCAUAGGUGAGCUCCUUUGUGCGUUUUAAGCACAUGUAAGUGGUUCGGCACA
RNAcentral lists this small RNA (444 nucleotides) under Pongo abelii (Sumatran orangutan). Its description in RNAcentral is "processed transcript". The record is from RNAcentral. Lineage: Eukaryota; Metazoa; Chordata; Mammalia; Primates; Hominidae.